RNAcentral lists this ribosomal RNA (253 nucleotides) under uncultured bacterium. RNAcentral describes it as "partial 16S ribosomal RNA". It matches the Rfam family "Bacterial small subunit ribosomal RNA", at positions 524 to 776 of the family's 1533-position model. The record is from RNAcentral.
UACGGAGGGGGCUAGCGUUGUUCGGAAUUACUGGGCGUAAAGCGCACGUCGGCGGCUUUGUAAGUUAGAGGUGAAAGCCCAGGGCUUAACCCUGGAAUUGCCUUUAAGACUGCAUCGCUAGAAUCGUGGAGAGGUGAGUGGAAUUCCGAGUGUAGAGGUGAAAUUCGUAGAUAUUCGGAAGAACACCAGUGGCGAAGGCGACUCACUGGACACGUAUUGACGCUGAGGUGCGAAAGCGUGGGGAGCAAACAGG